This 250-nucleotide ribosomal RNA is filed under the name uncultured bacterium. Its description in RNAcentral is "partial 16S ribosomal RNA". It matches the Rfam family "Bacterial small subunit ribosomal RNA", at positions 83 to 334 of the family's 1533-position model. The record is from RNAcentral.
UUAAGAUGGCGACCGGCGCACGGGUGAGUAACACGUAUCCAACCUGCCGAUGACUCGGGGAUAGCCUUUCGAAAGAAAGAUUAAUACCCGAUGGCAUAGUUCUUCCGCAUGGUAGAACUAUUAAAGAAUUUCGGUCAUCGAUGGGGAUGCGUUCCAUUAGGUUGUUGGCGGGGUAACGGCCCACCAAGCCUUCGAUGGAUAGGGGUUCUGAGAGGAAGGUCCCCCACAUUGGAACUGAGACACGGUCCAA